This 1910-nucleotide long non-coding RNA is filed under the name Manihot esculenta (cassava). Its description in RNAcentral is "long non-coding RNA (MESC_LNC005963)". The record is from RNAcentral. Lineage: Eukaryota; Viridiplantae; Streptophyta; Magnoliopsida; Malpighiales; Euphorbiaceae.
GGCAAGUUCGGCGCACAGGGCAGAUUCCUCUCAAUUUUUGGUUCUUUUCUUUUCCUUUCAAUUUUUUGUUUUUAAUUCAGCCAAUGAGUGGCUGAUUUCUUUAAUUCUAAUUGAGGAUUGGUUGAAAGUAAGGUUGUUUAAUGGGUUGUGAGAUCUGAACAUAAAUUAUUGUCUUUGGUUUUGUUCAAUAUUUAUGCAAUUGAUACUUUAAUUACAUGAUUACUUUGUUGUUUUGAUCAAAUUGACAAUUUGAUUUUAAUUACAAAGUUAAUUGAUUGUUAGUUGGGAUUAUUUUUAGUCCGUAAUUGCUGGAAAUAUUCUGACCUUAGAACACUUGGCGUAAAAACUAAGGAAUUGCAUGAUCUAGCGUUAUCUCCAUACGUUUGGGUAGCUAGGAUUGGAUCUCUCUAUUUCUUUAUGCAAUUGACAAUUGUUUUGAUGCCUAUGGCCUAAGGACGUUCCUUGGCAAUUUGUUAAUUAGUAAUUAAUUAGAGGACGUUCCCUAAUUAAUUUAAUCAUAAGGAGAGACAUGGUGGUGAGAAGCGUCUUCCACCCCAUAACUAAUCUAUUGAACCAAUCAAGAUAAUUUAAGUUUCAAUGAUCAACCCAAACAACUAAAGUGGAUUCAUAUCUUCAACUAGGUUUUUCUCAUAUUGAUUUACUCUUUUAUUUUAAUUAUUUGCUUUCUAUUAUUACUCUCAUUAUUAGUUACUACAAUCAAUCUCAAACCCCCCAUUUUACUUCUACUGCAAUUUAUUUUUAUUCUGUUUUCAGUUUAUCUCAUUUGAUCCCACUUUCAGUCUUUUAUCUCAUCUUUAAUUUAUUAUUGUUUCAGUUUAUUUUAUUGGUCUUGUUGAGAAAAAUAAAUAGGUAAUCAAUUCUCUGUGGAUUCGAUCCUUUCACCACUAUCUGUAGUUGUAAAAUUGUUGAUAAUCAGAAAGGUUAUUUUUGACCGGUCUCGACAAUCGCUCCUGUCAUUAACCAUGAUGCUUUCACUCUCAUGGACCGUCCUUAGAGGAACGAUGGGAGCCGGAGCGUGAAUUGGGCCAUCAGAGGAGGAGCUCAAGGCAGAACUUCCACCAUAGGAAGAAGAAGAAGAAGAGGAGGAGGAGGAGGAAGUAUUCCUAUUCAUUUCUAUAAAAGGAAAAGCAAGUAGGAAUUACCUUUAAGUAAGGAAGUGUGAAUGGACAAGAGUAGUCGAGUCUUUUCUGAAGCACAAAUAUCAGUUGUGAGUAAAAGUGGUAUUUGGAGGAGGAGAAGGGUUUUUAUACGAUGGUUUCGCGCGACAAGUUUUAAAUGCAGCUCAAGAAACAAGUCAGUCGUCAUUUAUGGUCAGGAGCAGGGAAAGCAAUGCAAGAGUGGAAUGCCAAUCUAAACAUGCCACAUGUCCCAUUACACCUAUAUUCGCGGAGUCCCUUAUCUAUUAACCGAUACUAGUCAGAUUUCCAGGGCAUUUGACAACCACCUCCAUCUUCUUACAAUAUAAAAACUGAUGAACCUGAGAUUAAGGUACACAUUCUUACACAACUACUCUUAAGUUCAAAGCAUUACACUCGCUCUUUUUUUCAAUUUACUGCAUCUUCUUACAAUAUAAAAACUGAUGAACCUGAGAUUAAGGUACACAUUUUUACACAACUACUCUUAAGUUUAAAGCAUUACACUCGCUCUUUUUUUCAAUUUACUGACUUGAGCAUCAGAGUGGCUGCCAUAGAUGCCAAUUAUCUCACUUUCUUUUUCUUGCAGAUUGACCAAUCACAGCGCAAUUUCGUUUUAGUCACAUCAAAAAUAAUAUUAGCAAAUUUAUGAAAAAUAAGGUUACAAGAUGAUUUAUUGAAUUGUUUUACUUUAAUAUUAAAUAUAUUUAUCUAUUAUCACUAUUGAUGAAAAUAUAUACUUACCUUUAAUAAUUC